UGGGGAAUCUUGCACAAUGGGCGAAAGCCUGAUGCAGCGACGCCGCGUGCGGGAAGAAGGCCCUAGGGUUGUAAACCGCUUUCAGCAGGGAAGAAAAUGACGGUACCUGUAGAAGAAGGUGCGGCCAACUACGUGCCAGCAGCCGCGGUGACACGUAGGCACCAAGCGUUGUCCGGAUUUAUUGGGCGUAAAGAGCUCGUAGGCGGUUCAGUAAGUCGGGUGUGAAAACUCUGGGCUCAACCCAGAGAUGCCACUCGAUACUGCUGUGACUUGAGUUCGGUAGGGGAGCGGGGAAUUCCUGGUGUAGCGGUGAAAUGCGCAGAUAUCAGGAGGAACACCAGUGGCGAAGGCGCCGCUCUGGGCCGAGACUGACGCUGAGGAGCGAAAGCGUGGGUAGCAAACAGG
This 405-nucleotide ribosomal RNA is filed under the name uncultured bacterium. RNAcentral's name for it is "bacterial SSU rRNA". It matches the Rfam family "Bacterial small subunit ribosomal RNA", at positions 355 to 776 of the family's 1533-position model. The record is from RNAcentral.